AGGCCCUGGGAUCAGCAUCUUCACGCAUCAUCCUAUUUAAUCCUAACUAUGUGAGAUGGAGCUCAGAAAGAUCAAGUAGCAGAUCCAUAGUCAUAUCUCGGUUAGACGGUAGGACUGGGAACUCAAUGCAUGUCCGUUGCUUUGUCUUAUGAGUGCUUGGGUCUUUCAGAGUAGUUCAUUAAAGCUCUACCUGUCCAAAAGAGAGGGUGGAUGGAACGUCAAGAUUGGAGAACAUGGCUUACAUCCUUGGCCCUCUUAAUGGCGUCGUAGAUGGCUCCACGUCCAUCAGGAUGGAAAUUAAUUGGUGGCUAUCCAUCAUUCUGUGGGUUCCUUCCCCCGCUAAACACUGGAUGUCAGGAGCUGAUGAACUGGAGAGUCUGAUCCAACAGUAAUUUGGAACUCCAGCCUCCACGGUAAGCCCAGCCUGAUCACGAGGAAAACAGACAAAUUCCAACUGAGGGACAUUCUAUAAAAUACCUGACCGCUCAAAACUGGCAAGGUCGUCCAACACCAGGAGAGUCUGAGAAAGCAUCACAGCCCAGAGGAGCCUAGGGAGACAUGACAACUAAAUGUAACGUGGUGUCCUGGACCAGAAAAAGAACACCAGGUCAAGAGCUGAGGAAAUCUGAACAAAGUUUGGUUCAUUAAUUGUGACAAACAUACCAUAUACCAAUGU
This 676-nucleotide long non-coding RNA is filed under the name Equus asinus (donkey). Its description in RNAcentral is "lncRNA (ENSEASG00005035704.1, ENSEASG00020004579.1)". The record is from RNAcentral. Lineage: Eukaryota; Metazoa; Chordata; Mammalia; Perissodactyla; Equidae.